GCUCUGUCCAGCGUGGUCGCCGCCCGCGCAGCACCGCCUGCGUGCGUGAAGGCACGCAGCUGCUUGGCUGCCUGCGUCGCCAGACGACGUGGAGGCACGACGUCCCUUCCUUUUCGCGAUAAAGCCUUCCCUCUGGACGACGCGUUCGUUCUUUCCCUUGCACCCGACGCCGGCGACCUUGCUGCGCUCCUCCAAUUCGCGUCCCUCGCUCCGUUUCCAAGCCGUUCGAGUGCACCAACAGCUCCGCCUCGAACCAAGCCACCGAUUGCGCCCCUUGCUGCAAGCUCUAAUCAUUUCUAGCCCCGGCUACGUCCGUUCUUCCUCCACUCCGGCCAAAAACGCCGCCGAGGAGCACCUCAACGUGGACAGGCCACCUCGAGCCAUUGCAGGACAAGCUACGGCCACCAGCAGGUGCGCACUAGUCUGGGCGAGCUUCCCCGAUGCUCCAAUGCCGCCGACGAGCACUCCAGCGCCGAAACCACGAUCUCCGGCGAGUUCCCCUGUUUCCAGUUCGCGACCAGGGACUUCGGGCGACAAUUUGAUGUUUCCCAGGGGUCUAUUUGCAGAGACUGUGACUUAGGUGAAUAGUGCUAUAAGGACUUGUUUGUAGAUGUUUUGCUGAAUUUUUGAAAAUUCAUAUCUGGAGUUUGGCAACUCCAAUUUUGGUGAACCAAAUUUUGUUGUGCUCCUUGAAAUGUCUAGUUUUUAUUAAAAAUAUGAAACUGACCAUGUUUUGUAGUAAAAUAAUUAGUUAUGAUUUAUGCCUUUUAAUUAUGUUUAAAAAGGAGAAAUUCAUAUCUAAUUCGGUGUAGCUCCUAUGGGCCUGAAAUUUUUAUAGUGUUUUGAUGAUGCUAUGUGAGUGUUACAGUAAAAAUUUCAUGUUCAGUGGAUGAUAUAUGGUUAAGUUAUUAAUUUAUCUUGUUUAGUGCUUAUUAAAUAGUUUACAAUUAAACUAAAAAUAAAUAAAUGUAAAAUACAGUUCCUCUGCCUUUAUAUGAGGUUGUUAUAUCAUACAGAUACAUAAUUUAGCUAUGUGUUUGUAGAAAAUGUCGAGUUUCUUAAUUAUCUUGCUGUUACAUGCUUUCUUGUGAUGGCAAUUUAUCUUUUUCAUGGAAAUUGCUAUACUUAUCCAAAUGGCAUGAAAUUAAUACAGUAGACUUUGGAGAACAUAUAUGAGCUGCUGUAGUUUUCUCAGAAUUUACUGUAUACUUUUGAUAUAUGGUUAUUGCUUUGUCUAUUUACCUAAAUAAAUUAAUAAAAACAUGAAAGGAAUUUAUUUAGGGAUGACCAUGAUGUUUUCUAGUAUCUCUUUGAUGUAUUUCAACUAUUUGUGAGCUGGGUUUUGCCCAGGUCCAAGUUUGAAAUAUUAAUGAAAUGUUAUUUGUCUAUAAUUAAUUUAUUAGUGAUUUCUGGACAGUUUCUGGAACCUUAUGAAUUGCUCUAGGUAAAUAAUGUUGGGUAUGAAACUUGUCUAUAACAAAGUUGUAUAGAAUUCAUGUAUCUAGCUGGUGUUAAAUUUUGGUGGCAUUUGGCCCUAUAGUUUCUGAGUUAUGCCUGUUUAAAUUUAAGUUUCAGAAAUGGUUCCUCUCUGUCAAAUUCUGGAUCAGUUUCUGUAGUUGUGCAAUUUCAACCUACUAAACUUAUGAAUCAUGCUUUCAUGAUAAAAGAUGAAUUGUAGUAAUUUUCAUAAGCUUUCCAAAAUGUUAUGGAUCAUGAAUUUUGGUGAUCUAGAACUCUGGUUAUAGAUGUAUGAAGCUUAAUGUCUGAUUCUGUCCAAGGUCUGGACAGAAUUGUUUAUUCAUACUGUUUGGCCAUGUUAUCUAUUAAAUCAGUUCUCGAAGAUAAUAACAAAGUUGUAGAAAAUUAUCUAAGCUUUCCAGAAAGUCUAAUAUCACCUUUGUUGGAUGUUUGGAUCCCUAAUUAUGGUUGAAUGAAGUUGUGUAUAUGCUGCUGUCCUGGUUUUGUGUGCAAAUAGAAUUGUUUGCUUUUAGCUAGCCUUUACUUAAAUAAUGAGUAACUUAAUUUCCAAAUUAGAAUUUGAGUGCUUUUGGGAUUGUGUGAUGACCUGAGGUCAUUAUCUUUUAUGACCUUUGGCAUUUAAUUAUUGUUUGAUGUUAAUACUUAAUUACUGCCAUUAAUAUUUAAUUAAGAAUUGAUUAAGAUAAAUAGAAAACCUAAUCAUUUUAGGUUUUGAUUGAUCUUUGGGAUUGAUUGACAACCAGUGGUUACUUGGCAUGAUAUGCUCCCUGGUUAAGGAUUCUUUCAUGUAAAUGAUCUUUGUUGCUUAAUAACUACACAACAUUGCUUAAGGAAGAUGAUAAAAUUUGCUUAGUAGUAAUCUAUGCUUUGAUAACUAAGUUAGUUUGUUUCUAUACCAUGAAAGUAAGUUGUACUCGAGGUAGUUAUGUUUGUUGUUAUCAUCCAAGAACAUGUAAUCUGUCUUUAUCAUGUCAUAAGCAUCUCAUUGAUCAUGCAUAUGCACUUUUACGUAUAGAAUACGCUCCGGAAGAAUCAGAUCCUCAGUGGGUCACUUCCGAGUUUGAAGAACCAUCUGGUUUUGCUGAGUUGCCGAACUUCCCUUCCGGUCAAGGCAAGCCCCGGACAUUAAACCCUAUCCUUGUAUUUUCAUAAAGUUAUUUAUAUCACUUGAGUUAAUAUGAUGCAUUAGGUGAAUAGGAGUUGAGUGAAUCCUAUUUGCUGCAUUAUCUACCUUGAUGAUUUCCAUAUUAACCUUGAUACCUGCUUUAUGAAAAUGCUUAGUAUGCUUAGCCCUGCUUAUUAGAUAAGUUUUCAAAUGAGAACGUUUGAAGGGCCGUUGUGGAAUACUUUUAUGGUUAAUAAUGUUUAAACUUGAGACCGGUCGGUGGACUUGCUUUAAGAAUGGAGUCUUAAAGUAGUGUCUCCAACUGUGUCGAUUAAGGACCGUACCGUUGAUUGGCCUGUUGUGAUUGAGACCUUUGAGUACAGCCCACAUGCGGCGGUAAGCCUUACCUAUAGCUAUUCCGAUACUUGAGAACGGCUAACCGCGUACUGGGAGUGGAGAGAUGGCGAGAGUAGCGUGUACCCACCUUACGGAUCUGAGAUGACCGGGAAACAUCUAGAUUGGCUGUAGGAUGGUGGUGUACUGUACUCUCGGGUGACGCUGGACCCGUUCUUGUAUGGGAGGAUCUAUAGAAACAGGUUGACAUAUGCAAGAUUAAGUUCUACAUAUGUCGUGUGGUACUGAAUCCCCAGCUGGGUUUAAUCGAUUCGAAUCGCCGUGUUUCCUCGGAUAUGGAGCCUCAAUCCUCACACCACCAUAUAAGAAAGAGGUGGUUUGCUUAUGAAAGUUUGAUAAUAAUUUUGGUUAGUCAUAAAUGAUGAUCUUGAGUUAAAACUUGAAAGUAGGUUUUACUCUUAGUAAGCUUUUAUGCAAAAGAAAUGCUUUGAUCUUGCUAAAGCCUUACCUUAAAUCCCUAUAGCCUGCAUACCUGAGUCUUCACCUCUUUUCUAGUCGGUUAAGUCUUGUUGAGUACUUUUGUACUCAGGGUUUUAUAACCCCGGUUGCAGGUGCUGACUUAGGCUGCUAAUGGAGGUCAUGUCGGUGGGCGCGACAUGAUUUAUCCACCUCUUCUACCUUAGAAGCUUCACCUAAGAUGCUUCCGGUACUCUACACACCUUUUNNNNNNNNNNNNNNNNNNNNNNNNNNNNNNNNNNNNNNNNNNNNNNNNNNNNNNNNNNNNNNNNNNNNNNNNNNNNNNNNNNNNNNNNNNNNNNNNNNNNGCCAAUCAGAAGUCUUUGAGACAACGAUGGGUGCAUGUGGGCCACUUAAUUCAGGAGGUUCUGUCACAGCUGGUAUCAGAGCUCAUACAUGGAUCUUCUGCAACAUUACUUGUGAAAAACUUCAAAAGGAAUUUACAAAUUAAAAAGUUUUGAGGAUAACAACUUAUAAAUGUUCCUUAACUUUUCUUAUGCUUGCUGUCUGAGUUCUGUGAAGACUGUCUGCUGACUCAAAUAGAAGGCAUUGAAAGGGACUUCAAUUCUUCUUCAACAAGCCAAGUGAAGAAUCAAACUACUCCAACAAUGCUUUGUCAAAAGUCUUGCAACAUUCCAUCCAGAGCGAUGAAGAUAGUUUAUAAAUAAAGCCCUAUAAUCUACUAACAUGAUGAAGAUAGAGCACUCUCGCCGUUGAGAAGACGUAUAGGCGAGCAUAUUGCAUAUCAUGCAUAACAUGACAAUAUAAUGAUACUUAAAAGCCCCUCCUUAUGCUUCAAAAACAGUUAUUAUUCGUUAUAGCUGUUUUAUUGAUGAAUCUCAUCAUGUACCAGGUUUCGUUACCUGAUUGAUAAUCUUUUACUCCAUAAGAUUCUAAUCCUUGAUUCAUUUGUUAUGCAUGUGACCUUCCUUGAUUGCAUCUAAUUCGGACACCUACUACCUCCUUGAUGUCAUUUGUCAACAUUUAUGUUGAUUGAAUGUCACUAUGAUUGUGUCCUCUUAAGGUACCAUGACCCAUAACUUAGGUAACAGCGCCGAAACCUGGGGUCUCCUAUGGCUCGCGACCAUAAGGAAAUACUGCCGGGCGCUCGCUGUUAUCAAAGUCUAUGAUCAUGAUCCCUUAUAGACCCACAACUUAAGUGACCUCACUCUUUGAACAAUAUUAUGGGAAUCCAUGCCCAUAUCUCUUUGGAAUUACCUAAAGCCCCUGACUUGGAUAACCAACAUAGGUCAUUGAAAGCUAUUGUAACUGUACUCUAUAGUAGGUACCAUGAUCCAUGAUCACGUUAUAGCGUCGAACCUUGUAGUCUCCUGUGGACUGCAGCCAUAAGGAAAUACUACAGGGUCCUCGUUAAACAUCGGGAUCUCUGGUCAUGCUCCACUAUAAUCUACUGUUAGUGUGCUUUCAUUCUCCUUGGAAGCUCAUUUGGAGAUUCAUAUCUUCGUAUGAAUUCUCUAAAAUUCCUGAUUGAUUACAACUUCUUGUUGAUCUUAGUUGUAAUUCUCGGACCAAUUGUAAUUGUUGUAUGAACUUCUCAGAAGUUAAUGUGCUUGACACAUUUCCUGUUCCAUUACUUAACACCACGAGUUUUAGUACCCUGGAAAUCUCGGGACGAGAUUUCUUUAAGGGGGAAGGGCUGUAACAUCCCUGAUGUUACGAACACUAAAACUGGAUCAUGUCAUCAUAAGCAUUGCAAAGCAUAUUUGUUAAGCACAUUAUUAUGCAUCCACUUAAAAUAAGGUUAUUUUGGUUGAUUGUGCUUAGGAAAUUAAAGUGUGCUUAUAUUGUGUAUGGAUGUUUGUGUUGGUGAUUAAAACCCUGGGUGAAAGUUUUUCCGAAAGACUUAAGGGGGGAAACCCUAAUUUCAAAAACCUAGAUUUGCCCCUUUUGUGCAAUUCAAAAACAAAGCAAAAUUUGAAGUUGAGUUCAAAAGCAAAGUUGUAGAUCUUGUCAAGAUGUACAACUUUGGUGUUUUGAGUUUUUGAAGUUUCAGUACAAAAUUCAAAGUAAUUUUGAAAAUACAGAUUUCCAGAAAUUGUCCCUUUUUCCAAUUUUAAUCCCUAAUUCAAAACCUAUUUGGAAUUUUGAAAAGUGAUCAAAAUGAAAGUUGUAGGGCUCAUCAAAAUGAACAACUUUCAUGUUGGGAGUUUUUCAAGUUGUUGUGGAAAAUCAAAAGUAAUUUUAGAAAUUCUAAUCUGCUCCAAUUCAAAAUUUGGAAUUUCCCCAAUUCGGGAUUUGAAAUUCAAACUGUUUUGUCAAAUUCGUCAUUUUCCACCCAGAAUUGGCUUUGGUCACCAAAAGAAGAUUUGUAGUUUGUAAAAUUCUGAAUAACUUUUGUUUUGGUGGAAUUUUGUCUUCAGUUCAAAAUUUGGACGAAUUUUGCAAAACCACAAAACUGGUUGGAUAAAGCCGGCUACAGUAACCGAGGUGGACCUCGGCGCUCUGUCCAGCGUGGUCGCCGCCCGCGCAGCACCGCCUGCGUGCGUGAAGGCACGCAGCUGCUUGGCUGCCUGCGUCGCCAGACGACGUGGAGGCACGACGUCCCUUCCUUUUCGCGAUAAAGCCUUCCCUCUGGACGACGCGUUCGUUCUUUCCCUUGCACCCGACGCCGGCGACCUUGCUGCGCUCCUCCAAUUCGCGUCCCUCGCUCCGUUUCCAAGCCGUUCGAGUGCACCAACAGCUCCGCCUCGAACCAAGCCACCGAUUGCGCCCCUUGCUGCAAGCUCUAAUCAUUUCUAGCCCCGGCUACGUCCGUUCUUCCUCCACUCCGGCCAAAAACGCCGCCGAGGAGCACCUCAACGUGGACAGGCCACCUCGAGCCAUUGCAGGACAAGCUACGGCCACCAGCAGGUGCGCACUAGUCCGGGCGAGCUUCCCCGAUGCUCCAAUGCCGCCGACGAGCACUCCAGCGCCGAAACCACGAUCUCCGGCGAGUUCCCCUGUUUCCAGUUCGCGACCAGGGACUUCGGGCGACAAUUUGAUGUUUCCCAGGGGUCUAUUUGCAGAGACUGUGACUCAGGUGAAUAGUGCUAUAAGGACUUGUUUGUAGAUGUUUUGCUGAAUUUUUGAAAAUUCAUAUCUGGAGUUUGGCAACUCCAAUUUUGGUGAACCAAAUUUUGUUGUGCUCCUUGAAAUGUCUAGUUUUUAUUAAAAAUAUGAAACUGACCAUGUUUUGUAGUAAAAUAAUUAGUUAUGAUUUAUGCCUUUUAAUUAUGUUUAAAAAGGAGAAAUUCAUAUCUAAUUCUGUGUAGCUCCUAUGGGCCUGAAAUUUUUAUAGUGUUUUGAUGAUGCUAUGUGAGUGUUACAGUAAAAAUUUCAUGUUCAGUGGAUGAUAUAUGGUUAAGUUAUUAAUUUAUCUUGUUUAGUGCUUAUUAAAUAGUUUACAAUUAAACUAAAAAUAAAUAAAUGUAAAAUACAGUUCCUCUGCCUUUAUAUGAGGUUGUUAUAUCAUACAGAUACAUAAUUUAGCUAUGUGUUUGUAGAAAAUGUCGAGUUUCUUAAUUAUCUUGCUGUUACAUGCUUUCUUGUGAUGGCAAUUUAUCUUUUUCAUGGAAAUUGCUAUACUUAUCCAAAUGGCAUGAAAUUAAUACAGUAGACUUUGGAGAACAUAUAUGAGCUGCUGUAGUUUUCUCAGAAUUUACUGUAUACUUUUGAUAUAUGGUUAUUGCUUUGUCUAUUUACCUAAAUAAAUUAAUAAAAACAUGAAAGGAAUUUAUUUAGGGAUGACCAUGAUGUUUUCUAGUAUCUCUUUGAUGUAUUUCAACUAUUUGUGAGCUGGGUUUUGCCCAGGUCCAAGUUUGAAAUAUUAAUGAAAUGUUAUUUGUCUAUAAUUAAUUUAUUAGUGAUUUCUGGACAGUUUCUGGAACCUUAUGAAUUGCUCUAGGUAAAUAAUGUUGGGUAUGAAACUUGUCUAUAACAAAGUUGUAUAGAAUUCAUGUAUCUAGCUGGUGUUAAAUUUUGGUGGCAUUUGGCCCUAUAGUUUCUGAGUUAUGCCUGUUUAAAUUUAAGUUUCAGAAAUGGUUCCUCUCUGUCAAAUUCUGGAUCAGUUUCUGUAGUUGUGCAAUUUCAACCUACUAAACUUAUGAAUCAUGCUUUCAUGAUAAAAGAUGAAUUGUAGUAAUUUUCAUAAGAUUUCCAAAAUGUUAUGGAUCAUGAAUUUUGGUGAUCUAGAACUCUGGUUAUAGAUGUAUGAAGCUUAAUGUCUGAUUCUGUCCAAGGUCUGGACAGAAUUGUUUAUUCAUACUGUUUGGCCAUGUUAUCUAUUAAAUCAGUUCUCGAAGAUAAUAACAAAGUUGUAGAAAAUUAUCUAAGCUUUCCAGAAAGUCUAAUAUCACCUUUGUUGGAUGCUUGGAUCUCUAAUUAUGGUUGAAUGAAGUUGUGUAUAUGCUGCUGUCCUGGUUAUGUGUGCAAAUAGAAUUGUUUGCUUUUAGCUAGCCUUUACUUAAAUAAUGAGUAACUUAAUUUCCAAAUUAGAAUUUGAGUGCUUUUGGGAUUGUGUGAUGACCUGAGGUCAUUAUCUUUUAUGACCUUUGGCAUUUAAUUAUUGUUUGAUGUUAAUACUUAAUUACUGCCAUUAAUAUUUAAUUAAGAAUUGAUUAAGAUAAAUAGAAAACCUAAUCAUUUUAGGUUUUGAUUGAUCUUUGGGAUUGAUUGACAACCAGUGGUUACUUGGCAUGAUAUGCUCCCUGGUUAAGGAUUCUUUCAUGUAAAUGAUCUUUGUUGCUUAAUAACUACACAACAUUGCUUAAGGAAGAUGAUAAAAUUUGCUUAGUAGUAAUCUAUGCUUUGAUAACUAAGUUAGUUUGUUUCUAUACCAUGAAAGUAAGUUGUACUCGAGGUAGUUAUGUUUGUUGUUAUCAUCCAAGAACAUGUAAUCUGUCUUUAUCAUGUCAUAAGCAUCUCAUUGAUCAUGCAUAUGCACUUUUACGUAUAGAAUACGCUCCGGAAGAAUCAGAUCCUCAGUGGGUCACUUCCGAGUUUGAAGAACCAUCUGGUUUUGCUGAGUUGCCGAACUUCCCUUCCGGUCAAGGCAAGCCCCGGACAUUA
This 8521-nucleotide long non-coding RNA is filed under the name Sorghum bicolor (sorghum). Its description in RNAcentral is "long non-coding RNA (SBIC_LNC008811)". Lineage: Eukaryota; Viridiplantae; Streptophyta; Magnoliopsida; Poales; Poaceae. The record is from RNAcentral.